Molecule: ribosomal RNA, 424 nt
Filed under: uncultured archaeon
Lineage: Archaea
Description: bacterial SSU rRNA
Rfam family: Archaeal small subunit ribosomal RNA
Source: RNAcentral
UACCAGCACCCCGAGUGGUCGGGACGAUUAUUGGGCCUAAAGCAUCCGUAGCCGGUUCUUUAAGUCCUCCGUUAAAUCCAUCUGCUUAACAGAUGGGCUGCGGAGGAUACUAUAGAGCUAGGAGGCGGGAGAGGCAAGCGGUACUCAGUGGGUAGGGGUAAAAUCCGUUGAUCCAUUGAAGACCACCAGUGGCGAAGGCGGCUUGCCAGAACGCGCUCGACGGUGAGGGAUGAAAGCUGGGGGAGCAAACCGGAUUAGGAUACCCGGGUAGUCCCAGCUGUAAACGAUGCAGACUCGGUGAUGAAUAGGCUUAGUGCCUAUUCAGUGCCGCAGGGAAGCCGUUAAGCUGCCGCUGGGGAUACGGUGCAAGACUGAAACUUAAGGAAUUGGCGGGGAGCACCACAAGGGGUGAAGCCUGCGGUUC